This 301-nucleotide ribosomal RNA is filed under the name uncultured bacterium. Its description in RNAcentral is "partial 16S ribosomal RNA". It matches the Rfam family "Bacterial small subunit ribosomal RNA", at positions 509 to 807 of the family's 1533-position model. The record is from RNAcentral.
CAGCAGCCGCGGGAAUACGUAGGUGGCAAGCGUUAUCCGGAAUUAUUGGGCGUAAAGGGCUCGCAGGCGGUUUCUUAAGUCUGAUGUGAAAGCCCCCGGCUCAACCGGGGAGGGUCAUUGGAAACUGGGAAACUUGAGUGCAGAAGAGGAGAGUGGAAUUCCACGUGUAGCGGUGAAAUGCGUAGAGAUGUGGAGGAACACCAGUGGCGAAGGCGACUCUCUGGUCUGUAACUGACGCUGAGGAGCGAAAGCGUGGGGAGCGAACAGGAUUAGAUACCCGAGUAGUCCCUGUCUCUUAUAC